Non-coding RNA from Ictidomys tridecemlineatus (thirteen-lined ground squirrel), 71 nucleotides. The record is from Rfam. NCBI's taxonomy places the organism in Eukaryota, Metazoa, Chordata, Mammalia, Rodentia, Sciuridae.
GUGGUUGUGGCUCAGCGGUAGAGCUCUCACCUAGAGUGUGCGAGGCCCUGGGUGCGAUCCUCAGCACCACA